UCGGCAGAUUUAGCUGGUUUCUAGUGGCGGACGGGUGAGUAACGCGUGGGUAACCUGCCUUAUACAGGGGGAUAACAACCAGAAAUGGUUGCUAAUACCGCAUAAGCGCACAGGACCGCAUGGUCCGGUGUGAAAAACUCCGGUGGUAUAAGAUGGACCCGCGUUGGAUUAGCUAGUUGGCAGGGUAACGGCCUACCAAGGCGACGAUCCAUAGCCGGCCUGAGAGGGUGAACGGCCACAUUGGGACUGAGACACGGCCCAGACUCCUACGGGAGGCAGCAGUGGGGAAUAUUGCACAAUGGGGGAAACCCUGAUGCAGCGACGCCGCGUGAAGGAAGAAGUAUCUCGGUAUGUAAACUUCUAUCAGCAGGGAAGAUAGUGACGGUACCUGACUAAGAAGCCCCGGCUAACUACGUGCCAGCAGCCGCGGUAAUACGUAGGGGGCAAGCGUUAUCCGGAUUUACUGGGUGUAAAGGGAGCGUAGACGGACUGGCAAGUCUGAUGUGAAAGGCGGGGGCUCAACCCCUGGACUGCAUUGGAAACUGUUAGUCUUGAGUGCCGGAGAGGUAAGCGGAAUUCCUAGUGUAGCGGUGAAAUGCGUAGAUAUUGGGAGGAACACCAGUGGCGAAGGCGGCUUACUGGACG
This 645-nucleotide ribosomal RNA is filed under the name uncultured Lachnospiraceae bacterium. RNAcentral describes it as "bacterial SSU rRNA". It matches the Rfam family "Bacterial small subunit ribosomal RNA", at positions 73 to 735 of the family's 1533-position model. Lineage: Bacteria; Bacillati; Bacillota; Clostridia; Lachnospirales; Lachnospiraceae. The record is from RNAcentral.